This is a non-coding RNA of Paramuricea clavata, 1287 nucleotides long. The record is from the annotation of a GenBank genome assembly. NCBI's taxonomy places the organism in Eukaryota, Metazoa, Cnidaria, Anthozoa, Malacalcyonacea, Plexauridae.
AAUUGCUCGAAUGACGUAAUUGCUAAAUGCGCAUGCGCAUCGGCGAAAAAAGUCGCUUCGCGCGAAAAAAAUCGCUAGUGGAAAACCGGCUUUAAGCCCGUUCUCCACUACGCGAAUUUGUUCGCGCGACGCGAAGCGAAAACCGAAAUCCGGCAACGUGAUUGGUCGGCGAAAAAAUUCGCGGCGAAAAAGUAGGAUCGCUUCCUACUUUUUAUCUGUUCGCGCGAACAAAUUCGCCUAGUGGAAAACGGGCUUUAAUCUGUGCCGUUGGGAUUUGCUUCGACGAGGGAUACGGAUAAAAUACAAGCGUAAAACCUCGUUCGUUGCAGUAUAUUUUGAACAAAUAAACAAUUUAUUAGGAAAAUACGUUCAAGAAACGUCUCGUGCUGUACUAGCCUAAUUCUGGCAAACGUUAUUUACUUUCUUCACCUUCGUGUCGACGACUGUUGUUUGCUGAUGGCCAAAUCACGACAGCGGACAUCAAUUAUUCAAAAUAUGUUCUUAUAGCUUCACGUUUACGAUACGAAUGUAAGAUUAUUUAUUUUUUGUAUAUGUAGGUUUUAGUUGAAAGUAACAGCGACGAUGAAAAAAGUGCACACAACAUUGAAAUAUCAGUUCACUACUAGCUCAAAUCGUGCGACAUAUCACUUGCUAGUAGCCCAGUCUAGUUUAACUUUGCCCAAUCAAGAAUCAUCUCCUGAAUCAGGCAUACUGGCAACACUGGUUCAUUUGAUAAUGUAAGUUUUUAAACUGGUAUUUUAGAUUUAUAUAGCCUCUGUCAAAUCAGGAUGAAAGUCAUGCAUGAAUUGCUUAUCAAUACACAAAGGACAUUUCAAGUUCCAGAUGAACAAAAUAUUAUUAAAGCUUUGAUGAGUGUUCUGCAACUAUGUUUCAACUUUAAAAUACUCUCAUCCUCGUUUGACCCAUAAUUAUUUGUUGAUUUUACUCGAUACUAAAUAGUGAAACAUCGAAUCCAGAGAAAAUCUUUAUAUAUGCAGAACCCACUGUAAUUCCGAGCUGUAAUCACAUAAUUAUAUAAAAGUCGUUUCAGUAGCAGCAAAAGCCAAACUAAACACCAAUCUAGGAUUAAUAGGUUUAGCUUUUAGGCCGAGAAUAAUACACGAUUGACAAUUUUGUGGCUGAUUGAUUAAUUAAUUAAUAGUAUACUGUAUAUUGAUGUUGUUGUAUACAGGACAUCUGACUUACAUGUCAAAUUAAUAGUCGAAUCUAUGAUUAUAUUGAGCAUGGCAGAUUUGACAUUUGAAACAUUGUUGAUGUUAAUAACCC